UAGAAAUCGGGUCCAAGAAUAAUUGAUCCAAAACUUCGUCUCCAAAAAUUGAUAAGAGGGGCCUCAUUUCCACAUAUGAAUCUUAGAAUUCAGACAAACCGUCCAAAUUAGAAAUUAACCCUUACGCCCCUGCAACGAAACUACGCCGGCUCAGGAAAGGCGGGAAAACUCGAACUUCUAUAAAGAGGAACUCACUUCACACCUGAAACUGAGACGAAUUGUGUUCACAGAGAGUAAAAAAGAGGCCCAUUGAGGUUUGCAACACAAUGGAGGAAUAUCUGCAACAUAUGAAGAACCUGCGCUCGCAAAUGAAUGGUUUUGAGGAGCAGCUUGCUGAGAUCUCAGUGGAAGAGCACAAGCAGAAGACUUGCAUUCAAGCCAUUGAAAAUGAUCUACAAUUUG
Amborella trichopoda is the source of this 402-nucleotide non-coding RNA. The record is from RefSeq and is a predicted model, not a curated record. NCBI's taxonomy places the organism in Eukaryota, Viridiplantae, Streptophyta, Magnoliopsida, Amborellales, Amborellaceae.